UCAUCCGGCAGCCAUGGCCGAGGAGGGUGUGGACUCGGGACCGGGCGCCGGCGAUACCAACACGCCGUUUGGACGCGGCCAGCGGGGCCGCAAAGGAGCACUCAAAAAGAAGAAUGUGUUUGAGGUGAAGGACCACAAGUUCAUCCCGCGCUUCUUCAAGCAGUUCACGUUCUGCAGCCACUGCAAGGAUUUCAUCUGGGGCUUCGGAAAGCAGGGAUUCCAGUGCCAAAUCUGCAGCUAUGUCGUCCACAAGCGCUGCCACGAGUUCGUCACAUUCAAGUGUCCCGGCGCCGACAAGGGCGCCGACUCGGACGACAAGCGAACAAAGCACAAAUUCAAGGUGCACACCUAUAGUAGUCCAACGUUUUGCGACCACUGUGGAUCUCUUCUAUACGGAAUCAUUCACCAGGGCAUUAAGUGUGAAGCGUGUGAUAUGAACGUACACAAACGGUGCCAGGACAGCGUACCGAACCUCUGCGGGUGCGACCACACCGAGCGACGGGGGCGGAUAGAGCUGGGCAUCACCGCAUCCGGCAACAAACUCACCGUCGAAAUCCGGCAGGGUAAGAACCUGAUCCCGAUGGAUCCGAACGGCUACUCGGACCCCUACGUCAAGCUGAAGCUGAUCCCCGACCAGGAUUGCUCUAAGCGCAAAACCAAGACCAUCAAGACGUCGCUGAACCCCGUCUGGAACGAGACGUUCACAAUUGAGCUGAAGCCUGAGGACAAGGACCGCCGGCUGCUGGUUGAAGUCUGGGACUGGGACCGCACAUCCAGGAACGACUUCAUGGGAUCACUGAGCUUUGGUAUCUCGGAGGUCAUCAAGGCGCCAGUGGACGGCUGGUUUAAGCUACUCACUCAGGACGAGGGGGAGUUCUACAAUGUGCCGGUGCCGCCCGAGGGCACCGACAUCAUGGAACUGAAGGAACGCGCAAGGAAGACAUCGCUGACGAUCCGGGCCAGCUUCUCGGAGCACAAGGACAUUCCCCACAACAUGGGCAAGAAGGACAUGAUCCGGGCGACCGACUUCAACUUCCUCAUGGUGCUCGGAAAGGGCAGCUUCGGCAAGGUGAUGCUGGCGGAGCGACGAGGCACGGACGAGCUGUACGCCAUCAAAAUCCUGAAGAAGGACAUCAUCAUCCAGGACGACGACGUCGAGUGUACGAUGAUCGAGAAGCGAGUGUUGGCGCUGGCCAGCAAGCCGCCCUUCCUCGUCCAGCUCCACUCCUGCUUCCAAACUAUGGACCGGCUUUACUUUGUCAUGGAGUACGUCAACGGCGGCGACCUGAUGUUCCAGAUCCAGCAGUUCGGCAGGUUCAAGGAGCCCGUCGCCGUGUUCUACGCGGCUGAAAUCGCCAUCGGCCUGCUAUUCCUGCACUCGAGGGGCAUCAUCUACAGAGACCUGAAACUCGACAACGUGCUGCUCGAUCAGGACGGACACAUCAAGAUCGCUGAUUUCGGCAUGUGCAAGGAAGGCAUCGAGGGCAACAAGACGACAAAGACCUUCUGCGGCACACCGGACUACAUCGCACCUGAGAUCAUCAUGUACCAGCCGUACGGCAAGUCGGUGGACUGGUGGGCCUACGGCGUCCUCCUCUAUGAGAUGCUGGUCGGCCAGCCGCCCUUCGACGGCGAGGACGAGGAAGAGCUCUUCGCCGCCAUCAAGGACCACAACGUCUCCUAUCCAAAGUGUAUCAGCAAGGAGGCCAAGGAACUAUGCAAGGGGCUGCUGACCAAGCAGCCGUCCAAGCGGCUGGGCUGCUCGCCGACCGGCGAGGCCGACAUCCGCGACCACCCGUUCUUCCGGCGAAUCGACUGGGAGAAGAUAGAGUCCCGGGAGCUGCAGCCGCCCUUCAAACCGCGUAUCAAGCACCGCAAGGACGUCAACAACUUCGACAAACAAUUCACCUCGGAGAAGACCGACCUGACGCCGACCGACAAGCUGUUCAUGAUGAACCUGGACCAGACAGAGUUCUCCGGAUUCUCCUAUCUCAACCCUGAGUAUAUACAGCACGUCUGAGGUCGUCCCUUGGGGUCGUCAGAGUCAUCUGAGGUCACCAGGAACGUAGAGGUUACCUGGGUCAUCUGAGGUCACCAGGAACGUCAGAGGUCACCUAUAUCGUCAGGGGUCACCAGGGGCGUCAGAGGUCACUCAGGUCGUCAGAGGUCAACGUCUGAGGCCAAUAAGGUCAUCUGAGGUGAACAUAGACCUAAAAGGGACUCCAGAGAUGCGGCAUGGUGGAUGCUAGUGCGGAAUAAUUCCGGAAAUCAGAGACCGUUGGUCACUGGUUCGUGGUCACUGAUUGUUGUGUAGCUGCUGGGUGGGAGCUUAGGUGGAGAGAUAGAGAGGGAGGGAGAGAGAGAGAGAGAGAGAGAGAGAGAGAGAGAGAGGGAGAGAGAGAGAGUCGAGAGACCAGUGAUACGAGGACCGAGGGCAGCAGCAGCAUCCACAGAUCGCCUCUCAUGUCUGCCGAGGACAGCGUGUGUAGUGUAACGUAUGCCGAUAUUUCAGCUGAUGAACUACUAGUCCAAGAUGGAUAUUAGGGGAACAAUGACGCAGAUAGGAGGCCAGAAUCUCGAUGUGUGUCUCGCCUGUACGGGGGCCGUGCCUACCGCACUGACCAGGGGCGCCCGAGCUUCCAGCAGUGUAUGUAUGCGUGGCUGCGUGAGUAUGUGCUCGUCAGUGUGUGAUCCACUUUUCGAGAUGUCCAAUCAGUGUUUAUUAGGUGUGCGGCGUUAGGGAAACAGAAGAUGAAUAUUCGAGGAAUAGUUUAAAUGUGUAAGCGCUGGCCGCAGUAUUUCGCUAUCAUUCAGCAAUCGCGUACUCGAUGUGCGAACUGCUUUCAGUUUGAGGUUAGUGUGACAUGUUUUAUUGUUCCACUGUGAAGUAUAUUAACGGCCACGUGUCAGGGCUCGACUUAGCUACACAGACCGGGAAGAUAUGCAUAUGAUACUGUCAGAGAUACGAUCCGCGCUGUCCGUCUCCAAUCGUGCCGCAGGAUACCAACUGAGAGCGUCGUAAGCCGCGCGUUGUGCAGUGUUACAGCCCUUUAUGUGAGAGUCAACCGCCACGGAUUCUACCGCCAUCUCUGGCUGUAUGUAUGUAACUAUAUUCCAGUGUAAUUUUGAGUAGCUGUGUAGUCUAUAUCGUGUCUACGUACGCCUAAUAGGCGUCUCCACUUAUAUGCAUUCGUGUUUAUUAUUAGCUCGCUAGGCCGCUGCUCGGCGAUGGAUUAUUGGAGAGCCGCGGCCUGGGAUUAUGGGAGCCCGCCAAGAUCGUCCUUGGCUUGGCAGGUAUGUCGAGCAGAAGGGCCCAGGAAGCGCCCCUGUGCAGCGUGCAGUGGGUAGAGGUAGGCCGGAUGCAAUGCAAAAGUCACGAUAUAUAGAGCGGGGCGGAAUUCGCCAUGACCGAGGACGGGACUCUGUACCUACUGACGAGGACAUGCCGCAGUAAAGGCAGGGCUGGACCCAAAGGAUGCAUAUUACAGAGGAAGGGCGGGAUUCAGAUCAGACGUGGGGUAGGACUCGAAGGCAAAAGUAAGUUGGGACGCAGGCCAGGAGAAGUGCAGGUUACAGUACAGUGGUAUGACGAAUACUCAGAAGAUAAUGAGGAAGAGAGGAACUCAAUAGAUUCAGAGACAGAGUUGGGGCUGAACUCAGAAUUCAGAGGACCGUUUACGAGCCGGGCCACGGAGCGGCGGCGGCCGACCGUACCGUGAUAUGUUGUGGGCCCGUGGCUACCAGUGUCUUUAGUGGGUGUGCAGCUAAACAGGGGCGCCCGGUAGUGGCGAAGUCUUCCCCUGUCCAGGGGCAGUGUGAAUGAUUGCAGGCGCGCGCUCGCGUGGCGUAUAACCCCGCGUCGAGGCCGAACGCGGACGAUAGGUAAAUGUCAUCGCAUUUUCUCUGUCAUCGUGGUAUUUAUGCUGGUUGUUAUUCCCCAUACUUGUAGAGAAAGGUAGCGAAUUCUCGGUGUUUGGGAGCGGAUGAGCUGGUAGAUACGAGUGAGUGACUGGUGCGCUGAAUUCGCUACUACCAGCGACACCUGGAGUGAUGCGCCGUCCUGGGGCGACGUGUAGGUUACACACUAUUCCCGCGUACCCUGCGGGCUAUUCCAGGCUUCUCGGCCGCCCACUGACAGAUUGGGAGGACUCUGCCAGUGUCUCGGCCGGCCGCUGACGUUAUGUGAAUAUACGAUACUGACCCAA
Molecule: unclassified non-coding RNA, 4205 nt
Filed under: Amphibalanus amphitrite
Lineage: Eukaryota; Metazoa; Arthropoda; Thecostraca; Balanomorpha; Balanidae
Description: protein kinase C, brain isozyme-like, transcript variant X5
Source: RNAcentral